RNAcentral lists this long non-coding RNA (516 nucleotides) under Olea europaea (common olive). RNAcentral's name for it is "long non-coding RNA (OEUR_LNC011475)". Lineage: Eukaryota; Viridiplantae; Streptophyta; Magnoliopsida; Lamiales; Oleaceae. The record is from RNAcentral.
UUAACUUGAAUUUUGGAAGAAGAAGAAGUAAAUGACACUACACUUCCCACUACAUUCUAAAGUGGAAAUCGACUGCGGUUCCAAUUCAUGAGCAAAUAUAAAUGCAAAUUGUGGUUCUAAAAUCUUUUUCUUUCAUCAGUUCCAUGGCUUCUGAAUCUGCACCAUAUCCGAGUCUGCCAAUAGGAAGAGUCUUCAGCAGAAUUUCUGAUUUCUUCGAUUUUCGGCAAAGAAACAACUCAGUUAGCAACCAAAGAUCUACCCAAGACGUUGAAAGGGAUGAGAUUCAGUACCCGAGUCCACUCUGUCUUUCAUCGUCUUACUAUAGUGUUUUCGUUGUUCGUCUUGCCAUUAUGGUAUGUGGUUUUUGUUUUUGUGUCGUAUUUCAAGUGAAGAAGGAAUAUGCAUGCUAUAUUGCCUGUUUGGGUAAUUACGAGAAUAAUUUGGUGGUAGGAAUUUGAUUUGAUUAGGUGAAAAUCAGUUGAACUUGAAAGUUGAAGAAAUAUAGGUAGGACAAUG